RNAcentral lists this ribosomal RNA (374 nucleotides) under uncultured bacterium. RNAcentral describes it as "bacterial SSU rRNA". It matches the Rfam family "Bacterial small subunit ribosomal RNA", at positions 523 to 898 of the family's 1533-position model. The record is from RNAcentral.
AUACGGAGGGUGCAAGCGUUAUCCGGAUUUAUUGGGUUUAAAGGGUGCGUAGGCGGCUCUAUAAGUCAGUGGUGAAAUCAUCAGGCUCAACCUGAUACCUGCCAUUGAAACUGUAAAGCUUGAGUAUUAUCGACGCGGGAGGAAUGCGACAAGUAGCGGUGAAAUGCUUAGAUAUGUCGCAGAACACCGAUAGCGAAGGCAUCUCGCGAGGUAAUCACUGACGCUAAGGCACGAAAGCGUGGGUAGCAAACAGGAUUAGAUACCCUGGUAGUCCACGCCGUAAACGAUGAUAACUGGGUUUUUAAUGAAUAUCAUUAAGAGCCUGAGUGAAAGCAUUAAGUUAUCCACCUGGGGAGUACGUUCGCAAGUAUGAA